UACAGAGGCCUCGAGCGUUAGGCGGAGUCACUGGGCUUAAAGCGUGUGUAGGUGGAUGCCUAAGUACCUUGUGAAAUCCCACAGCUUAACUGUGGAACUGCUUGGUAUACUGGGUGUCUUGAGCCACUCAGGGGCUACUGGAACAAACGGUGGAGCGGUGAAAUGCGUAGAUAUCACUUGGAACGCCAAUGGUGAAAACAGGUAGCUGGGGAUGUGCCGACGCUGAGACACGAAAGCCAGGGGAGCGAACGGG
This 253-nucleotide ribosomal RNA is filed under the name uncultured bacterium. RNAcentral describes it as "partial 16S ribosomal RNA". It matches the Rfam family "Bacterial small subunit ribosomal RNA", at positions 524 to 776 of the family's 1533-position model. The record is from RNAcentral.